AUGAACUAGUGGGCCUCUUGAGGGCCAACGACAAGUUAUAAAAGGGCCAGUGACAAGACUCAAGUUGAACUGGGGCCGGAUACUCAAAACACCUCAUAAGUUACGUUUUUCAGCAUGUUACAGUACCAUAUAUUGUGGAAGCCUUACAGUACCAUAAAUUUAGCAUACUCAAAAUUUAAUUAUGGUUCCGUAAGACUACCAUAAGUUCUCGUAACUCUAGUGUUUACCCUGUAAAUUAAGUUCUCUUGUCGGACGGUAGCUGUCAGUGCAGACGCUAGUUGGCCAAUCAACGCUCAGUUAACAAAAUCAUCAACCAAUCACAAGAGAAGGAGAAAUCAGCUGAGAGCGACGCACGUAAUAUUAUUGUGUAAACAUGGAAGGACCACCAGCCAAGAAGAGACGACCUAAUUUCAGUGAGGCUGAAGUAUACGCUUUUGUGACUGAGGUGGCCAAAAGACAAGAAAUGAUUUUAGGGAAGUUGGACUCAAGUAGUUGUACACUUCAACUCAAAAACCAGCCUGGGGUGAAGUGUUAAAUGCGGUGAAUGCUGUUGGUAGAGUCACCCGCAAUGUUACUGAAAUUCGGUGGAAGUUUUCUGCUGAUCUUCGUGUUAGCGUUAAGAAAAAAGCAGCACAAGAUAAGAAAUAUGCUGGUGGAACAGGUGGCGGCCCCCAAAUUGAAAUUACAUACACUGCAAUUGAAGAAGCAAUUCUUCAACUAUUAGAUCCAGCCUCUAUACAUGGGAUUCCAGGGGAUGUUGAAAGUGAAGAACCUAUUAAUG
Molecule: long non-coding RNA, 781 nt
Organism: Homarus americanus (American lobster)
Lineage: Eukaryota; Metazoa; Arthropoda; Malacostraca; Decapoda; Nephropidae
Exons: 2
Source: RefSeq, a predicted model, not a curated record